GACGAACGCUGGCGGCGUGCUUAACACAUGCAAGUCGAACGGAAAGGCCCUGCUUUCGUGGGGUGCUCGAGUGGCGAACGGGUGAGUAACACGUGAGUAACCUGCUCUUGACUUUGGGAUAACUUCAGGAAACUGGGGCUAAUACCGUAUAGGAGCUCCUGCUGCAUGGUGGGGGUUGGAAAGUUUCGGCGGUUGGGGAUGGACUCGCGGCUUAUCAGCUUGUUGGUGGGGUAGUGGCUUACCAAGGCUUUGACGGGUAGCCGGCCUGAGAGGGUGACCGGCCACAUUGGGACUGAGGUACGGCCCAGACUCCUACGGGGGGCAGCAGUGGGGAAUAUUGCACAAUGGGCGGAAGCCUGAUGCAACAACGCCGCGUGCGGGAUGACGGCCUUCGGGUUGUGAACCGCUUUCGGCUGUGACGAAGCGUGAGUGACGGUAAUGGGUAAAGAAGCACCGGCUAACUACGUG
Molecule: ribosomal RNA, 468 nt
Filed under: uncultured bacterium
Lineage: Bacteria
Description: partial 16S ribosomal RNA
Rfam family: Bacterial small subunit ribosomal RNA
Source: RNAcentral